CAGCAGCCGCGGUAAUACGAAGGGGGCUAGCGUUGCUCGGAAUCACUGGGCGUAAAGGGUGCGUAGGCGGGUCUUUAAGUCAGGGGUGAAAUCCUGGAGCUCAACUCCAGAACUGCCUUUGAUACUGAAGAUCUUGAGUUCGGGAGAGGUGAGUGGAACUGCGAGUGUAGAGGUGAAAUUCGUAGAUAUCCGCAAGAACACCAGUGGCGAAGGCGGCUCACUGGCCCGGAGCUGACGCUGAGACGCGAAAGCGUGGGGAGCAAACAGGAUUAGAUACCCCAGUAGUCCCUGUCUCUUAUAA
Molecule: ribosomal RNA, 301 nt
Filed under: uncultured bacterium
Lineage: Bacteria
Description: partial 16S ribosomal RNA
Rfam family: Bacterial small subunit ribosomal RNA
Source: RNAcentral